UGACGGCCUUCGGGUUGUAAACCUCUUUCAGUAGGGAACAAGGCUACACGUUGUGUGGUUGAGGGUACCUGCAGAAGAAGCGCCGGCUAACUACGUGCCAGCAGCCGCGGUAAUACGUAGGGCGCAAGCGUUAUCCGGAAUUAUUGGGCGUAAAGAGCUCGUAGGCGGUUUGUCGCGUCUGCCGUGAAAGUCCGGGGCUCAACCCCGGAUCUGCGGUGGGUACGGGCAGACUAGAGUGAUGUAGGGGAGACUGGAAUUCCUGGUGUAGCGGUGAAAUGCGCAGAUAUCAGGAGGAACACCGAUGGCGAAGGCAGGUCUCUGGGCAUUAACUGACGCUGAGGAGCGAAAGCAUGGGGAGCGAACAGGAUUAGAUACCCUGGUAGUCCAUGCCGUAAACGUUGGGCACUAGGUGUGGGGGACAUUCCACGUUUUCCGCGCCGUAGCUAACGCAUUAAGUGCCCCGCCUGGGGAGUACGGCCGCAAGGCUAAAACUCAAAGGAAUUGACGGGGGCCCGCACAAGCGGCGGAGCAUGCGGAUUAAUUCGAUGCAACGCGAAGAACCUUACCAAGGCUUGACAUAAACUGGAAACACUCAGAGAUGAGUGCCCCGCUUGCGGUCGGUUUACAGGUGGUGCAUGGUUGUCGUCAGCUCGUGUCGUGAGAUGUUGGGUUAAGUCCCGCAACGAGCGCAACCCUCGUUCUAUGUUGCCAGCACGUAAUGGUGGGGACUCAUAGGAGACUGCCGGGGUCAACUCGGAGGAAGGUGAGGACGACGUCAAAUCAUCAUGCCCCUUAUGUCUUGGGCUUCACGCAUGCUACAAUGGCCGGUACAAUGGGUUGCGAUACUGUGAGGUGGAGCUAAUCCCAAAAAGCCGGUCUCAGUUCGGAUUGGGGUCUGCAACUCGACCCCAUGAAGUCGGAGUCGCUAGUAAUCGCAGAUCAGCAACGCUGCGGUGAAUACGUUCCCGGGCCUUGUACACACCGCCCGUCAAGUCACGAAAGUUGGUAACACCCGAAGCCGGUGGCCUAACCCCCUUGUGGGGAGGGAGCUGUCGAAGGUGGGACUGGCGAUUGGGACUAAGUCGUAACAAGGUAGCCGUACCGGAAGGUGCGGCUGGAUCACCUCCA
Molecule: ribosomal RNA, 1128 nt
Filed under: Arthrobacter sp. SS-2009-PN9
Lineage: Bacteria; Bacillati; Actinomycetota; Actinomycetes; Micrococcales; Micrococcaceae
Description: bacterial SSU rRNA
Rfam family: Bacterial small subunit ribosomal RNA
Source: RNAcentral